UGGGGAUUCGUCCCAGGCGAGCGCCCGCCAGAGUUAAACCAAACUCUUGUUAUUUAACCGGUCGUCUGAGUUAAAAUUUUGAAUAAAUCAAAACUUUCAACAACGGAUCUCUUGGUUCUCGCAUCGAUGAAGAACGCAGCGAAAUGCGAUAAGUAAUGUGAAUUGCAGAAUUCAGUGAAUCAUCGAAUCUUUGAACGCACAUUGCGCCCCUUGGUAUUCCGAGGGGCAUGCCUGUUCGAGCGUCAUUACACCACUCAAGCUAUGCUUGGUAUUGGGCGUCGUCCUUAGUUGGGCGCGCCUUAAAGACCUCGGCGAGGCCACUCCGGCUUUAGGCGUAGUAGAAUUUAUUCGAACGUCUGUCAAAGGAGAGGAACUCUGCCGACUGAAACCUUUAUUUUUCUAGGUGACC
This 409-nucleotide unclassified non-coding RNA is filed under the name Aureobasidium pullulans. RNAcentral's name for it is "sequence contains ITS1, 5.8S rRNA gene, ITS2". The stretch from base 92 to 245 matches the Rfam family "5.8S ribosomal RNA". The record is from RNAcentral. Lineage: Eukaryota; Fungi; Ascomycota; Dothideomycetes; Dothideales; Saccotheciaceae.